This is a long non-coding RNA of Cyprinus carpio (common carp), 1025 nucleotides long. The record is from Ensembl. NCBI's taxonomy places the organism in Eukaryota, Metazoa, Chordata, Actinopteri, Cypriniformes, Cyprinidae.
GACAUGUUGAGGCAGAACACUCUUGGAAACUGUAACUGUUUCUUCAUGGAUGUACAAACGCAUGGCAUGAAGAUCCGUUUACCCUCAAGAUAUUCACACUACAUGUAUGUGCCAUACAGGAGGAUAAAAGCAAUCAAAUUAAGUGUCCUGCUCCUUCUGCUCCAGCUGCAGUUCAGUCAGACCAAACCCAUCGACUUCAUCUGUGACCCAGAGGUGAGGAGACGCAUGGAUGUGACGGAGACGCUGGAGCCGCUCAUGACGCACUGCUUGGACCAGCUGCCCUCGGACGUCCUGCAGCCGUGUGUCCGGAUAAACAUGGGAGCGUGGAAACAGACAUCAUUCCAGCAGAAGCAGGCAUUUGUACGUGACUCUCUGGAUGCUUUUCUUCGCUCCCUGGGGAACGUGAAGGAUAGUUUGUCCACUUCAUGUCAGACGGACGUCUUGAAGCUGCUGGAACGCAGUGUGAAGAACCACCUGCUCAUAGUGGAGCAUCUGGAGCGACGGAUUUCCACACUGACUCCAGAUUGGGACUGCGAGGGUCAUAAAACAUCCAGCUUGACUCAGACGGUGCGUUUCUACAGAAAGCUUCUGCGUGGUCCUGUGGGGCUCCUGAUGAAGGAUCUCACACACAUGUGCACAACACACACAUGAACUCCUGACACACACAACAUACAGAUGCUCAAAGGAUCCGUCUCAGUGCACUGUUACGCCUCUGAACAUCUCCUUAAAGUCAACUUAAAGACGAUUAACGAAAUUCAAGAAGUGAAAAUAAAUAAAUAAAAAUGAUUUGGGAAAAUAACACUGGAACAGGAAAGGAUUUACUGAGGAAAUGGAAAACCAGGGGCUGGAAUCAUGGAGAUCUUCUGAAGAAGAUUUUAUUUUUAUUUUUAUAAAUCAAGAUGAAUUCUAAGACAUUAAUAAGGAGGUUCCUAAGUGGAAUUCUUUAAAGCAUUUCAGAUAUUUUCUUACGUUCUAAAGUGUGUCCCUGCAGCACAAAAGCAGUCAUAAGUAGCACAGGUAUAUUU